Molecule: ribosomal RNA, 379 nt
Filed under: uncultured Microsporidia
Lineage: Eukaryota; Fungi; Microsporidia
Description: SSU rRNA
Rfam family: Microsporidia small subunit ribosomal RNA
Source: RNAcentral
GUGGACGCUUGCCUUAAAGAUUAAGCCAUGCAAGCCAGCGAAGGUAACGGAGCGGCGAACGGCUCAGUAGGACAGGGUUAUCUGACCACCGAACAGGAUAACCGCGGUAAUCUGUGGCUAAUACGUGUGUGGGUGAGACUCUGCCCUAUCAGCUUGGGGGUACGGUAAGUGCGUACCCUUGCGACGACGGGUAACGGGAAAUCGGGGUUUGAUUCCGGAGAGGGAGCCUGAGAGAUGGCUACCACGUCCAAGGAUGGCAGCAGGCGCGGAAAUUACCCACUUGGAGGACCAGAGGUAGUGACGAGGCGUUUUUAAUGAGAAUAGUGUAAAAAGCUGUUCGAAAGCAACUGGAGGGCAAGUCUGGUGCCAGCAGCCGCGG